RNAcentral lists this long non-coding RNA (4531 nucleotides) under Cricetulus griseus (Chinese hamster). RNAcentral describes it as "lncRNA (ENSCGRG00015037997.1)". The record is from RNAcentral. Lineage: Eukaryota; Metazoa; Chordata; Mammalia; Rodentia; Cricetidae.
CUGGUCUCCAGAGCGAGUGCCAGGAUAGGCUCCAAAACUACACAGAGAAACUCUGUCUCAAAAAACCAAAAGAGAGAUAGAGAGGUAUGGCAUUUAUGAUUUAAGACACAAAAAAGCUAUGUGAGCUUCCCUCAGUAGUAUCUGGUUCUUUCCCUGCUUACUUCACAUUUGUCCCCAGGGCCUAGCAUUCCCUGCACGGCCUUCAGGGAUUCAUUGACAUUGGGUGAAUUGGCUUAUCUCCUCAGCUUUUCAUCCAUUUGACAUCAGAUGUGCUCAUCCUAAUGAAGAAAAGGUGUGAGUCAUACCCACCCUGCCACCCUCACCAGCUGCCCACCAACUUCCUCUGAGGGUGUUCUGUAGCCUCUGAGGGUGAUGUUAUUAGAUAUUUGUAUUCUGCGUAACGUCUUGGUGGGCACAGUGUUACCCGGAUGUAAAUGCAACACAGUUCUCCCAAGAGUCUUACUGUUCCCCUAACAAUGACAGUGUCUCUUGGGCUUCUGUCUUAAAAUUGUUUGACCAUUGUCAGAUUCGUGCCAUGUCAAUCAUAACAUCAUAAUGUGAGUGGUGUUCAUCUGAGGCUUGACACUGGGAUGAGCUCUGUUGAGUAAUUAAAGAAUUUAUUUUGGAUGUGGGGGAUGCUGGAGCAUGGAAAAAAAAAUCACAGAAAAAAAAAGCCAGCAACAAUACAAGCUCAGUAGGGAAAUUUUAGACAUCAAACAUUUUUUUUUAUACAAAAUACCAAAGGUCACUAGUCUCCCACAUCAAAUACACAGACAUUUUUUUAAACAAAUCCAUUUCAGUCUGAGUCUCAACACAGGCCUAAAAUAUGUGUUUUUGAAAAAAAAAAGAUUCUAGGAUAAUUUUAAUUUUGUUGUUUUCCAAAAAUGAAGGAGGAGAAACUGUUUGAGAUUUAGUUGUGGGGAAUUGUGAACAGUAUUUCAACCUUGCCCAAGAGGUUGACAGUUAGAUACUGAUGCUGAAGUCUAAAUUUUCAGAAUUAUAUUCAUUUUUGAUCAUACCAUGUUACUAGAGGGGCAAGGCAGGCUCCAAGGUGUGGCUUCCUGCCUGUUUUUCAAGGAACCUGCAGCCCCCUUGUACACACAUAAGGCUGCAGCCCCCUUGUACACACAUAAGGCAUUCUACACUUUGCCCAAUAUACAACCUCCACAUUCAUCCUGGCAUUGACUCAACAGGAGGCUGGGGUUUGAUGAACUCAGCAUAGAAAUGAUCCUUCACCCAUAUUACCCCAUCGAAGAAGGCUGAUAGAAACGAAGGCUUUCAGGCUGUUCCCAAAGCCCGUAACUUGUUCUCUUUCACAUCUGCAGCCGUGUCCUCCUCAGGGAGUUGUCCAAUUCAAUGUGAUUUUAAACAUCUGUCAGCUAAAUCAGAGCUCCAAAUUUAGCACUCGGGAACAUUAUGCGGAUGUGCGAUGCUCGCUGGAGAACACUGCAUCCACAAACUCAGCUCACAGGAGACAGCCGGGUGGUACUCCCAUUGAGGCCAGUUUGAUCUGAGUUUCCUGAAAUUCUGUUCUCCAUCCUGAGACAUCUUUCGGGUCUGGCAAAAAAAAAAUGUAACUCUGCUGUAUCCAUCCUAAAGAAGCAUGGUUCUCACUGGCCACCUUUGAUGGGCACUGUAGCAUAGCUCCCUUCUCUCCACUGGAGGGAUGCCCCUGAAGAGCUGCACUGCAGUUCAAGAAGAAGACAACCCCAUGCCUUUGCAGAGGCAAAUGACUGCUCAUUUGGGAGUGUGUAACUAAUUCUAUCAAUUUCUGAAAUCAUGGCAUCUGUAAAGGGAGACACAGGGAGAAAGAGCCUUGUAAAAUAGUAUGGCCAUCGAUAAGUGUCUGAUCACAAUAGACGAACAUGUAUUUGUUGCACUUAGAUUCACACAAAAUCUCCCAGCUUCCAAGAUCCAGUGCUCCACUAAGUCCUCAGACCUAGUUACCACAUGCUUUCAGCUGUGGAAGCAACGCUGUGAGUCUCUGCUCUGAUUUAAUGUGUGAUGCUAUUAGGAAGAAUCUUGUAAUGCUACUGGGUCUCGGAAGCAGCAACUGUGGUGUUUGAUUGGUCCUGUGUAACCAGGAUUAGGCUAGGCCCAGAACAAGGGUCUAAUGAGACUGUAGGGACAGUAAAUCAGUGCAUGAGUGGCAGGCAGACAGGCAUGAAUUUGAACUGUCUCAAGGCAGGGGAAGGUGACGCUGCUGCUGUUGGCCAGAGGAGAUGCCUUACAAAAUCAUCCUGGCAAAACUACACAUGCACUACUCACACAUGGACUUGAACAAGACUCAGUACAGGGUUUCCUUGCUUUUAGAGAAAAGGUGAGCCUCUCAGAGGAGUUAUAACCAAUUAAGAGCUGGGACACAGGGAAGGUGGCUGCAGAGCACUGAGCUGACAAACUUAGUCUCAAAACAUUUUCUUUCUGACAGUCUUGGUGUUUAACACAUACUCUAGGGGAGCCUGAUGGCUCUUCCUUCUCCUCACGCCACUUCUAUGGCAACACACUUACCUUGGGAGGAUACAUUAGGGAAUAGUUAAAACCAGAGACUGUAGCAUCAGACAGAUCAAAAUUCAAGCCCCAGACCACUGAGGCAAAUUAUCCUGGGAAAAUUAGCAAACAUCUGAGCUAGCUCAUUGCAUAUAAGGGAUGCAACUCAAGUAGAAAUAAAGUACCUGACACAUAGCAAAUGUUCAGUGUGACCAAAAUUGUCAUCGUUACUGUAAUUAAUUUGGGUUUGAAUUUUGCAAGUGAUAAAAAUGAAACAGUGCUGGCUUAAGCAAAAUAGUAACAACAUCAAUACAAGUGUGACUUACAGAAAUCACAAGUAGAAAUGUGCACGGGCCUCAGGGACAUCCAGUCACCAUUGUCUUCCAUUGCUCAUCUGCUGUACAAGUCUCCCUGAACUGCAUAUUUGCCUCAUCCCCCUCGGGGUUGAGAAAAAGCCAUCUCCCACCUCCUAACCUGCCAUCCUGCAGCUUCAACUUUCCCAAAAGAGACCAGCCAGAACCUUUUUCCUGUUCUUGAUGUCAUAGACUCCAAUGCAUUCACCUGGCAUGGCUAGAGGCAGGGGUCAAGUGACACUUGUGGUCCCCAGGAAGUAGCAGAUGUGGAGAGUCGCUGGAUUUCUGGGAGAGAAAUUAUGGCCAGAUGUUACAAAAGUACUUUCAAACUAGUAUAAUGGUGGAAGUGCGAUAUUUUUUAAAGUGAGAAGGUGUGAAAAUGUCCUUAGUGAACAAAAUUUCAUAUAUAUCGUGGUCAUGAGCUACACUCAUUUAUAAAGGUAGAGAUUUAUAGGGAACACAGAGAAGUUGGUUUAUGCUGUGGUGGUGAUUUUUUAAUGUUCUCUGAUUUAAUAACAAAACUUUGUUGAAUGCGGAAAGCUCUUACAAGGAUUAAUAACCCUUGAGCUUUUGCCACCUAACACCUUAGCGAGGAUUAGUUGUCAACUGGCUGAGAGCCAAGCCUCUAGGGGUACAGUCUCAGGCCAGAAGGAGGAGGGAGGAGGCAGGAAAAUGCCAAAAGUCCUGAAGGCCAAGCUCCUCGUUCUCUACCAUGUGCAGGCACUGAGGCCCUCUCUUCAUAGAAAGUCAGAAACCUGGCUCAGAAUCCUAAAGCCUUCAUCGUAUUUUCACAGGACAGUCUGUAAACUCCAGCCAGAGACAGGACAGCUACUAGAAAACUCCCUGGGUAGUUUAAAAAAAAAAAAAGCCAUCAGAAACACUGUGAAAAGCCACCUUGUGUUUUUUAGAACAAGACGGGAGCCAGCUUCCAAAAGCCCUACAAACAUCCUAUAGACACGUUUCCAUAGAAACAGAUGAUCCCACGCCCACUCUAGUAGCCUCUGAGCCCAUUUGGCAUUCUGUCCUCAGUUCCACCCCUGGGUGCAGUGAGGAUAACCCAGGAAAAGUCUUUCCAUUUAGUCUUUGGCACCCUGCUUCUAAUAGCCUGAAUGUCCAUGUGCUGCUUCUUUUAAUGUUCCCCUCGAGGGUUGGGUAGGACAGAUGGUCACUGUCAUGUUAAAGCCAAAGACUUAUGAAGCAACUUUGUGAGCAGAGUGAGUACUUAACUCCUGCCCCAGAGACAGACCCCUGGGACUCUUGCCUGAAUGGGGAUGGGAUUCUGCUUCAUUGUAACACAGUGGGUAAUCGCAUUCACUGCCCCAUCUUCAGGGGAGUGGUUUUGAAAUUGCUCAAGCUGGCUGCCCUGAGAUAUUGCCCAAAUGUUCCCUUAGGACUGCUUUUAUCUUCAGCAAAGCUACAUAUGGCCAAAGCUCCAGAAAAAUUCACUGAAACCUAAGGACUUUGCGUGUUCAAGACCCAGACAUCAAAAGAGUGGGAGUUCUGUUGCCGGGUCCAUUCCUUCUGCUCCCAUAACUGUCACCUUAGCUGAAAUCACCAACUUACACAAUUUGGCAGAGUUCAUCUAUAACCUGGCCCUCUAUGUCCUAUAGACACUAGACAUACAUGUAAUCUGUAUAACACAUGUACAAAAUACAUUCAUUAAGCGGUUGAUUAAAACUUGUUAUCUAAAA